RNAcentral lists this ribosomal RNA (440 nucleotides) under uncultured bacterium. RNAcentral describes it as "partial 16S ribosomal RNA". It matches the Rfam family "Bacterial small subunit ribosomal RNA", at positions 338 to 795 of the family's 1533-position model. The record is from RNAcentral.
CCUACGGUGGGCAGCAGUAGGGAAUAUUGCUCAAUGUGGGAAACCCUGAAGCAGCAACGCCGCGUGGGUGAAGAAGGUUUUCGGAUUGUAAACUCCUUUUGUUAGAGAAGAUAAUGACGGUAUCUAACGGAUAACCACCGGCUACCUCCGUACCAGACGCCGCCGUAAUACGUAGGGUGCAAACUUUACUCGUGAUCAAUGGGCGUAAAGAGCACGUAGGCGGGAUAGCAAGUCAGAUGUGAAAUCCUAUGGCUUAACCAUAGAACUGCAUUUGAAACUGUUAUUCUAGAGUAUGGGAGAGGUAGGUGGAAUUCGUGGUGUAGGGGUAAAAUUCGUAGAGAUAAAGAGGAAUACUCAUUGCGAAGGCGACUCGCUAGAACAUAACUGACGCUGAUGCGCGAAAGCGUGGGGAGCAAACAGGAUUAGAUACCCGGGUAGUC